This 61-nucleotide transfer RNA is filed under the name Lucanus mazama (cottonwood stag beetle). Its description in RNAcentral is "tRNA-Cys". Lineage: Eukaryota; Metazoa; Arthropoda; Insecta; Coleoptera; Lucanidae. The record is from RNAcentral.
AGUCUUAUAGUCAAGGAUGACACUAAAUUGCAAAUUUAGGGGUGGAUAUUUUCUAAGGCUU